GCUGGGUGUGGUGGCACACGCCUGUGAUCCCAGCAGCUCAGGAGGCUGAGGCAGGAGGAUUGAGAGUUCAAAGCCAGCCUCAGCAAAAGCAAGACACUAAGCAACUCAGUGAGACCCUGUCUCUA
This 125-nucleotide small RNA is filed under the name Marmota monax (woodchuck). Lineage: Eukaryota; Metazoa; Chordata; Mammalia; Rodentia; Sciuridae. The record is from RNAcentral.